AUUGAACGCUGGCGGCAGGCCUAACACAUGCAAGUCGAGCGAGCGGCGGACGGGUGAGUAAUGUAUGGGGACUGCCCGAUAGAGGGGGAUAACUACUGGAAACGGUGGCUAAUACCGCAUACUAUCGGAUAACCCAUAUGGGAUUAGCUAGUAGGUGGGGUAAAGGCUCACCUAGGCGACGAUCUCUAGCGGGUCUGAGAGGAUGAUCAAGCACACGGUGACUGGGACACUGCCCAGACUCCAACGGAGGCAGCAGAGGGGAAUGUUGCACAAGGGGCGCAAGCCUGAUGCAGCAAGGCCGCGUGUAUUAAGAAGGCCUUAGGGUUGUAAAGUACUUUCAGCGGGGAGGCGUUACCCGCAGAAGAAGCAACGGCUAACGCCGUGCCAGCCGCCGCGGUAAUAG
RNAcentral lists this ribosomal RNA (403 nucleotides) under uncultured bacterium. RNAcentral's name for it is "partial 16S ribosomal RNA". It matches the Rfam family "Bacterial small subunit ribosomal RNA", at positions 29 to 526 of the family's 1533-position model. The record is from RNAcentral.